GGUCCAGUAGUCUAGUGGUUAUGACAUCUGUCUUACAUUUGCUAGCACAGAAGGUCCUCGGUUCAAUCCCGGGCUGGAUCA
Molecule: transfer RNA, 81 nt
Filed under: Schizophyllum amplum
Lineage: Eukaryota; Fungi; Basidiomycota; Agaricomycetes; Agaricales; Schizophyllaceae
Description: Auriculariopsis ampla tRNA
Rfam family: tRNA
About the family: Transfer RNA (tRNA) molecules are approximately 80 nucleotides in length. Their secondary structure includes four short double-helical elements and three loops (D, anti-codon, and T loops).
Source: Rfam by way of RNAcentral